RNAcentral lists this ribosomal RNA (424 nucleotides) under Fusobacteriota bacterium. Its description in RNAcentral is "Fusobacteria bacterium partial 16S ribosomal RNA". It matches the Rfam family "Bacterial small subunit ribosomal RNA", at positions 355 to 776 of the family's 1533-position model. The record is from RNAcentral. Lineage: Bacteria; Fusobacteriati; Fusobacteriota.
UGAGGAAUAUUGGUCAAUGGUCGAGAGACUGAACCAGCCAAGUCGCGUGAAGGAUGACUGCCCUAUGGGUUGUAAACUUCUUUUACAAGGGAAUAAAAUGAGAUACGUGUAUUUUAUUGCAUGUACCUUGUGAAUAAGCAUCGGCUAACUCCGUGCCAGCAGCCGCGGUAAUACGGAGGAUGCGAGCGUUAUCCGGAGUUAUUGGGUUUAAAGGGUGCGUAGGUGGGCUGUUAAGUCAGCGGUGAAAGUUUGUCGCUUAACGAUAAAAUUGCCGUUGAAACUGGUAGUCUUGCGUAUAGAUGAAGUAGGCGGAAUGCGUGGUGUAGCGGUGAAAUGCAUAGAGAUCAUGAAGAACUCCGAUUGCGAAAGCAGCUUACUAAGGAAUAUAUGACUCUGAAGCACGAAAGCGUGGGUAUCAAACAGG